GGAGGGGGCCAGCGUUAUUCGGAAUUAUUGGGCGUAAAGGGCGCGUAGGCGGCUUGGUAAGUUGAAGGUGAAAUCCCUCGGCCCAACCGAGGAAUUGCCUUCGAAACUGCCUCGCUCGAGGCCGGGAGAGGGUAGCGGAAUUCCCAGUGUAGCGGUGAAAUGCGUAGAUAUUGGGAGGAACACCAGUGGCGAAGGCGGCUACCUGGACCGGUUCUGACGCUGAGGCGCGAAAGCGUGGGGAGCAAACAGGAUUAGAUACCCUGGUAGUCCACGCUGUAAACGAUGGGCACUCGGUGCUGCGGGUAUCGACCCCCCUGCGGUGCCUUAGCUAACGCGUUAAGUGCCCCGCCUGGGGAGUACGGUCGCAAGGCUG
This 373-nucleotide ribosomal RNA is filed under the name uncultured organism. RNAcentral's name for it is "partial 16S ribosomal RNA". It matches the Rfam family "Bacterial small subunit ribosomal RNA", at positions 527 to 896 of the family's 1533-position model. The record is from RNAcentral.